GCAACGUAUUGACAAAGGCGAUUCUCUGGGGAAGGGGGUCCAGUUUUCCUCAUAGUUUACAACUAGCAGCUUCGAGACAACCUGUUUCCUUAGAGAAGGCGGGAGGUUUUCUGUGUGCAAAUGUACUCUCGGAUUCAUCCUUCCACCCCAAAUUUAUUCAACAUUUCCGACAGCAGGUCUGAAACACACAUACAAAGGCAUGUCGGAUAAGGGGGCUUAUAUCCACCUGCUGCAGUUGCUCAAAAUGUCUCAGUUGAAACUUAGAAGACAUGGCCUUUCAAAAUCCUCAACUGAAUAUGUGAAGAAAAUGGAUCUCUGAAUUCUUGCAGGGAAAAUACACAGUCCUCUUUAAGUGGUGGUAGCUGCAAACAGAUGCUUGGAAGAAAUUUCUACCUUUAAUCUCCUCUAAGGAUUUGCAGAGGGUUACACAAUAAAAGACAAGACAUAUACACACA
Long non-coding RNA from Crotalus tigris (Tiger rattlesnake), 455 nucleotides. RefSeq lists it as uncharacterized. NCBI's taxonomy places the organism in Eukaryota, Metazoa, Chordata, Lepidosauria, Squamata, Viperidae. The record is from RefSeq and is a predicted model, not a curated record. The transcript has 2 exons.